RNAcentral lists this ribosomal RNA (441 nucleotides) under uncultured bacterium. RNAcentral's name for it is "bacterial SSU rRNA". It matches the Rfam family "Bacterial small subunit ribosomal RNA", at positions 335 to 793 of the family's 1533-position model. The record is from RNAcentral.
ACUCCUACGGGAGGCAGCAGUGGGGAAUAUUGGACAAUGGGCGAAAGCCUGAUGUAGCAACGCCGCGUGCGGGAAGAAGGCCCUAGGGUUGUAAACCGCUUUCAGUAGGGAGGAAAAUGACGGUACCUACAGAAGAAGGUGCGGCCAACUACGUGCCAGCAGCUGCGGUGACACGUAGGCACCAAGCGUUAUCCGGAAUUAUUGGGCGUAAAGAGCUCGUAGGCGGUUUGUCGCGUCUGCUGUGAAAACUGGAGGCUCAACCUCCAGCCUGCAGUGGGUACGGGCAAACUAGAGUGCGGUAGGGGAGAUUGGAAUUUCUGGUGUAGCGGUGGAAUGCGCAGAUAUCAGGAGGAACACCGAUGGCGAAGGCAGAUCUCUGGGCCGUAACUGACGCUGAGGUGCGAAAGCGUGGGGAUCAAACAGGAUUAGAUACCCUGGUAG